CUCGGUUUCCACGCCCUUUGCUCCCACACAAUUCUGAGAACAGAUGCCUAAUCAUAUUUCAGACGUCCUACGGGCCAGUGACGGACUCUCUGGGACAGGCGCCCCUCCCCACACGGGGCAUUUCCAAGGGGAAGACCAUGCAGGCGGUUCUUCAGAAGUAUAUGUGAGACGGGGUCUCGCUCU
Lemur catta (Ring-tailed lemur) is the source of this 183-nucleotide long non-coding RNA. RefSeq lists it as uncharacterized. The record is from RefSeq and is a predicted model, not a curated record. NCBI's taxonomy places the organism in Eukaryota, Metazoa, Chordata, Mammalia, Primates, Lemuridae. The transcript is spliced from 3 exons.